UCUGAACGCCCUUAGUCAGAAUCCGUGCUAGAAACGAUGAUGUUGGUGUCGCACAUUAGACUUGUGUUUAAAUAGAGCUUUGCUCGUGAACCAAAUAUGGUGGGCUGGGUUGUCUUUGCGGAAACGCUUGGGCGACUUGUCUACGAAUUGUAAUCAUAAUAUGGGCGGCGGUGAAUCCUUUGCAGACGACUUGAAUGGGAACGGGGUACUGUAAGUGGUAGAGUAGCCUUGUUGCUACGAUCCACUGAGGUUAAGCCCUUGUUCUAAAGAUUUGUUCA
RNAcentral lists this ribosomal RNA (278 nucleotides) under Armillaria cepistipes. RNAcentral describes it as "partial 26S ribosomal RNA". It matches the Rfam family "Eukaryotic large subunit ribosomal RNA", at positions 3119 to 3401 of the family's 3401-position model. The record is from RNAcentral. Lineage: Eukaryota; Fungi; Basidiomycota; Agaricomycetes; Agaricales; Physalacriaceae.